This 1317-nucleotide ribosomal RNA is filed under the name uncultured bacterium. RNAcentral's name for it is "bacterial SSU rRNA". It matches the Rfam family "Bacterial small subunit ribosomal RNA", at positions 28 to 1381 of the family's 1533-position model. The record is from RNAcentral.
AACGAACGCUGGCGGCGUGCCUAACACAUGCAAGUCGAACGCCCCUUCUGGGGACUGGCUUACAGGAGAUUAACGCCCGACAGCUUACCCUUUGGUGCGGAACCCCUGAGGGAAACUGCAACUACUACCGGAUGAUGCCCUUCGGGGGAAAAAUUUAUCUCUCUCUGUUAGCGGCCCACGAUUGAUUAAGGGGUUGGGGGAGCAAUUGCUCACCGAGCCUACGAUCCAUUAGCUGGUCUGAGAGGAUGAUCGCUCACACUGGGACUGAGACUCGGCCACCACUCCUGCGUGAUCGCGACCGCGGGGAAUCAUGCACAGUGCCACAAUCCCCUGACACAGCCCUGCCGGGUGUCUUAUGAAGGGCUUAAGAUUGCUAGACUGCUCUUCCCCGCGAGAAUGAUGACGGCUCCCGGAUAAUAAACCUCCUGUUAACUUCGAGCAACCAGCCUCAGAAAUCUGAAUCGGGAGCUAGCGCUGCUCUAAAUUACUGGCCGUAGAUGGCUCCUAGGCAGACACCUUAGUCAUACGUGAGAGCCCAGCGCUCUCCCUAGUAAUUGCCUUUGAUACAGGCUGUUUUGAGAUUCGAAAAACGGAAGUGGAAUGCCGAGCGUAGAAGUGAUAUUCGUAGAUAUUCGCGGCAACACCAGUGGCGAAGGCGACUUACGGAUCCGAUACUGACGCUGAGGCGCGAAAGGAUCGGGCGCAAUCAGGUUCAGUUGUAGUGCUCGUCCUCGCUGUAAAGGAUGAGAGGUAGUAGUGGGUGCGCAUGCACAUCGGGCAGGCAGCUCACGCAUUAAUCUCUCCGCGGGAGGGCGGUCGGUCGCAUGAUACUCAUCGGAAGGAAUCGAGGGGGGCCACACACAAGCGGAGCAGCAGGUGGUUUAGUUAGAAGCGAGGAGCACAUCCUCAGCUCUUUCAUACAUGCCCGGACUCGCCGGAAGAGAUCUGUCUUUCCCCUCGGGGCAGAGGACCCAGGUGUGCCAUGUCUGUUCUCAGUUUGUGUGUGUGAGAGGUGGGGUUAAUUCCCCCAAGGAGCCCACCCCUCAUCAUUAGUCGCCCUCAUUAAGUGGGCCUCUUUAGGGGGCCUCCCGGGGCUAACCCGGAGGAAGGUGGGGAGGACUUCAAUUCUUCAGGCCCCUUUGGGGGUGGGUUCCCCCCGUGUUCCAAUGGCGGUUCCAGAGGGUUCCAGCCCAGGGAGGCUGACCUAUUCCAUAAAACUAGUCUCAGUUCGGAUUGCAGUCUGCAACUCGCGUGCAUGAAGUUGGAAUCGCUAGUAAUCGCGGAUCAGCAUGCCGCGGUGAAUACGUUCCCGGGCCU